RNAcentral lists this ribosomal RNA (1494 nucleotides) under metagenome. Its description in RNAcentral is "bacterial SSU rRNA". It matches the Rfam family "Bacterial small subunit ribosomal RNA". The record is from RNAcentral.
AGGGUUUGAUCCUGGCUCAGAACGAACGUUGGCGGCGUGGAUUAGGCAUGCAAGUCGAACGAUUUUUUGCCGUGUAGCAAUACAAGGCAAAAAAAGAGUGGCGAAAGGGGCAGUAAGGUUUGGAUAACCUACCCUGAGGUCGCGGAUAGCCUUCCUAACGGAUGGGUAAUACGUGGCGUUGUAUCGGAGAGGCAUCUCUUUGUUACCAAAGAAUUUCGCCUCGGGAGGGGUCCAAAUGAUAUUAGCUAGUUGGUGAGGUAACGGCUCACCAAGGCGAAGAUGUCUAGCGGGUGUGAGAGCACGACCCGCGCCACUGGCACUGAGACACUGGCCAGACUCCUACGGGAGGCUGCAGUCGAGGAUCUGGCAAUGGACGCAAGUCUGACCAAGCGACGCCGCGUGUGCGAUGAAGGCCUUCGGGUUGUAAAGCACUGUCGAGGGGGAGAAAGCCGAAAGGUUGAUCUAUCCCUGGAGGAAGCACGGGCUAAGUUCGUGCCAGCAGCCGCGGUAAGACGAACCGUGCGAACGUUGUUCGGAAUCACUGGGCUUAAACGGCGCGUAGGCGGGCGAUCAAGUCCGGGGUGAAAGCCUCCAGCUUAACUGGAGAAGUGCCUCGGAUACUGACUGUCUUGAGGAGGGUAGGGGCAUCUGGAACUAGCGGUGGAGCGGUGAAAUGCGUUGAUAUCGCUAGGAACUCCGAUGGCGAAGGCAAGGUGCUGGACCCUUUCUGACGCUGAGGCGCGAAAGCCAGGGGAGCGAACGGGAUUAGAUACCCCGGUAGUCCUGGCCCUAAACGAUGAGAACUAGAUAGUGGGGGUGAUAUGCCCUCACUGUCGGAGCAAAAGUGCUAAGUUCUCCGCCUGGGGAGUAUGGUCGCAAGGCUGAAACUCAAAGGAAUUGACGGGGGCUCACACAAGCGGUGGAGCAUGUGGCUUAAUUCGAGGCUACGCGAAGAACCUUAUCCUAGGCUUGACAUGUGCGAAAGCGGCAGCAAGUACCCUGCGGAAACGUCAGGGGAACGGUAUCCAAUCCGGAAGCUGCUACAGGUGCUGCAUGGCUGUCGUCAGCUCGUGUCGUGAGAUGUCGGGUUAAGUCCCAUAACGAGCGAAACCCUUGUUUCCAGUUGCCAGCGGGUCAUGCCGGGGACUCUGGAAAGACUGCCGGUGUCAAACCGGAGGAAGGUGGGGAUGACGUCAAGUCCUCAUGGCCUUUAUGCCUAGGGCUGCACACGUGCUACAAUGCCGUGAACAAAGGGACGCAAACUUGCAAAAGGGAGCAAAUCCCAGAAAACACGGCCCAGUUCAGAUUGCAGGCUGCAACUCGCCUGCAUGAAGUUGGAAUCGCUAGUAAUCGCGGGUCAGCAACACCGCGGUGAAUGUGUUCCUGUGCCUUGUACACACCGCCCGUCAAGCCACGAAAGAGAGGGACGUCCGAAGUCGCCGUAAAAAGUGCCGAAGACGGACUUCUUGAUUGGGACUAAGUCGAAACAAGGUA